GCGGUCGUGGCGGAAUUGGUUAGACGCACCAGAUUUAGGUUCUGGCGCCGCAAGGUGUGAGAGUUCAAGUCUCUCCGACCGCACCA
This 86-nucleotide transfer RNA is filed under the name Vibrio harveyi 1DA3. RNAcentral's name for it is "tRNA-Leu". It matches the Rfam family "tRNA". From Rfam's summary of the family: Transfer RNA (tRNA) molecules are approximately 80 nucleotides in length. The record is from RNAcentral. Lineage: Bacteria; Pseudomonadati; Pseudomonadota; Gammaproteobacteria; Vibrionales; Vibrionaceae.